AUGCAAGCAACCAAACAACCGGGGUUUAAAAAAAUACUGCAUCGAGCAGGCCUGGUUGGGCUUGAUGGAGGCAACCAAACUCGCCACGUCUGGGAAGUGGGCGCGGACGGCGACGGUCCUCCCGGCCCGUACGGUCCACGCUGCCGACGCCCUCCACGCAACGCAAAGGCAGGCUGGGACACUGCUAAAAAGAAAAAGGCAGGCUGGGACAGAGUCUUAGAAGCCACUCGGUUUCGUAUAAAGCCCCUCGGCUCGCCCCAAAUUGGCCAAAUCACAACACCGAGCCCAAACUAUGCCCCGGCUGCACCAGCUCCCAUUCCUCGCCGUCGAGCUCACCGGACACCGCCCGAAGCCAAGAUGACUACUUCCAGGCGCCUUGCUGACAGGAAGACAUCGAAGUUCCAGAAGAACAUCACCAAGAGGGGUUCGGUGCCUGAAACCACUGUGAAGAAGGGGAAUGACUAUCCUGUUGGACCUAUAGUGCUUGGAUUCUUCAUCUUUGUGGUCAUCGGAUCAUCUCUGUUUCAGAUAAUCAGGACAGCGAGCAGUGGUGGGAUGGCCUGA
This 564-nucleotide ribosomal RNA is filed under the name Triticum aestivum (bread wheat). RNAcentral describes it as "partial small subunit ribosomal RNA". The record is from RNAcentral. Lineage: Eukaryota; Viridiplantae; Streptophyta; Magnoliopsida; Poales; Poaceae.